This 754-nucleotide ribosomal RNA is filed under the name Salmonella enterica subsp. indica. RNAcentral describes it as "partial 23S ribosomal RNA". It matches the Rfam family "Bacterial large subunit ribosomal RNA", at positions 711 to 1461 of the family's 2925-position model. Lineage: Bacteria; Pseudomonadati; Pseudomonadota; Gammaproteobacteria; Enterobacterales; Enterobacteriaceae. The record is from RNAcentral.
AGACCCGAAACCCGGUGAUCUAGCCAUGGGCAGGUUGAAGGUUGGGUAACACUAACUGGAGGACCGAACCGACUAAUGUUGAAAAAUUAGCGGAUGACCUGUGGCUGGGGGUGAAAGGCCAAUCAAACCGGGAGAUAGCUGGUUCUCCCCGAAAGCUAUUUAGGUAGCGCCUCGUGAAUUCAUCUCCGGGGGUAGAGCACUGUUUCGGCUAGGGGGCCAUCCCGGCUUACCAACCCGAUGCAAACUGCGAAUACCGGAGAAUGUUAUCACGGGAGACACACGGCGGGUGCUAACGUCCGUCGUGAAGAGGGAAACAACCCAGACCGCCAGCUAAGGUCCCAAAGUCAUGGUUAAGUGGGAAACGAUGUGGGAAGGCCCAGACAGCCAGGAUGUUGGCUUAGAAGCAGCCAUCAUUUAAAGAAAGCGUAAUAGCUCACUGGUCGAGUCGGCCUGCGCGGAAGAUGUAACGGGGCUAAACCAUGCACCGAAGCUGCGGCAGCGACACUUAAGUGUUGUUGGGUAGGGGAGCGUUCUGUAAGCCUGUGAAGGUGGCCUGUGAGGGUUGCUGGAGGUAUCAGAAGUGCGAAUGCUGACAUAAGUAACGAUAAAGCGGGUGAAAAGCCCGCUCGCCGGAAGACCAAGGGUUCCUGUCCAACGUUAAUCGGGGCAGGGUGAGUCGACCCCUAAGGCGAGGCCGAAAGGCGUAGUCGAUGGGAAACGGGUUAAUAUUCCCGUACUUGGUGUUACUGCGAAG